This 484-nucleotide ribosomal RNA is filed under the name uncultured bacterium. RNAcentral's name for it is "partial 16S ribosomal RNA". It matches the Rfam family "Bacterial small subunit ribosomal RNA", at positions 30 to 507 of the family's 1533-position model. The record is from RNAcentral.
AUUGAACGCUGGCGGCAGGCCUAACACAUGCAAGUCGAGCGGAUGAAGGAAGCUUGCUCCUGUCUUCAGCGGCGGACGGGUGGGUAAUGCCUACGAAUCUGCCUUGUCGAGGGGGAUAACGUAAGGACAGGGGCGCUAAUACCACAUACGUCCUGAGGGUGAACGUCGGGGAUCUUCAGACCACGCGCUAUCAGAUGAGCCUAGGUCGGAUUAGCUAGUUGGUGGGGUAAAGGCGUACCAAGGCGACGAUCCGUAACUGGUCUGAGAGGCUGAUCAGUCACACUGGAACUGAGACACGGUCCAGACUCCUACGGGAGGCAGCAGUGGGGAAUCUUGCACAAUGGGCGAAAGCUUGAUGCAGCCAUGCCGCGUGUGUGAUGAAGGUCUUCGGAUCGUAAAGCUCUGUAAGUUGGGAGGAAGGACUGUAAGUGAAUCUCUUGCUGUCUUGACGGUACCAAAAGAAUAAGCAACGGCUAACUUCGUG